Molecule: RNA transcript, 1572 nt
Organism: Erinaceus europaeus (western European hedgehog)
Lineage: Eukaryota; Metazoa; Chordata; Mammalia; Eulipotyphla; Erinaceidae
Gene: REEP4
Gene name: receptor accessory protein 4
Exons: 8
Source: RefSeq, a predicted model, not a curated record
GCAGCUCCGGGUUCCGUGCAACUUUCAAGUGAGUUGCAAACUCCGCCCAGAGGUCCGAGCGGGUGGCGGGUGCUCUGGGUUUGUGGGGGUCGCCGCAGACAGGCGGAGCCGCGCCGCUGUGCCCAGAGCCGUAGGCGGGGCGCCCCGCAGCAGGAAGUGCGAGUCGGAGCUGUAACCGUCAGAGCGGCUCGGCCCGACGGAAGAGUGCUGCUAGGGCGCCUGGCUCUCGGGGCUUAGAGGUGCGAGCGGGCUCGUUGGCCCGGACAACUGCUGCUCAGCCCCCGAGGAAGCGCCCCGUUAGUGCUCCUCUCGGGGGCUCCCUCGCUCCGCGGCGGCAGAAUGGUGUCAUGGAUGAUAUGUCGCCUGGUGGUGCUGGUGUUUGGAUUGCUCUACCCAGCUUACGCUUCCUACAAGGCAGUGAAGACCAAGAACAUCCGGGAGUAUGUCCGGUGGAUGAUGUACUGGAUUGUCUUUGCACUCUUCAUGGCGGUGGAGACCUUCACAGACAUCUUUAUUUCCUGGUUCCCUUUCUACUAUGAGAUUAAGAUGGCUUUCGUUCUGUGGCUACUCUCACCCUACACCAAGGGUGCCAGUCUGCUUUAUCGCAAGUUCGUCCACCCAUCCUUGUCCCGCCAUGAGAAGGAGAUCGACUUGUAUAUCGUGCAGGCCAAGGAGCGCAGCUACGAGACGGUGCUCAGCUUUGGGAAGCGGGGCCUCAACAUUGCUGCCUCAGCCGCUGUGCAGGCUGCCACCAAGGUGCCCCACCCACUCCAGCAACACCCCCACCCACCCCAGUGCCUUUUGGGUGAUACAGAGCUCCCCCUCUCUUGCAGAGUCAGGGGGCCCUGGCGGGAAGGCUGCGGAGCUUCUCCAUGCAAGACCUGCGUUCCAUCCCCGAUGGCCCUGCCCCCCCCUACCAAGACCCCCUUUACUUGGAGGACCAGGCACCCCACCGCAGGCCGCCCAUCGGAUACCGGGCAGGCGGCCUGCAUGACAGUGAUAGUGAGGAUGAGUGUUGGUCUGACACAGAGGCCAUGUCCCAGCCACCAGCCCGGGCCCGAGAGAAGCCCCUGAGCCGCAGCCAGAGCCUGCGUGUGAUCAAGAGGAAGCCCCUGACUCGGGAGGGCACCUCACGCUCCCUGAAGGUCCGCACCAGGAAAAAGGCCAUCCCCUCUGAUCUGGACAGCUAGAACCAUGCACAAAGCUCAGGCUUACCACUCUCCCUGCAGAGCAUGGGACUGUUUGAAGGGGACCUCCGACUGCACCAGCUGCCCAGGCUCUGCCCUCCCAGCUCCUACCACUGUGGGGCCAUGGGCAGGGAUGCCCCUGGAUGUACCAAAGCAGGCUGGGCCCAGGCUCUAUUUAUUACCUUUCUCAUCCCUCUGCCUUCUCACAUUCAGGACCAGAGCCUUGCAAUCGAAACCCAAAGCCCACCUGGAUAUGUUCAUUCCUCCCUCUCCUCCAAAGUACUUGACUGCCUUCUCCAAGGCUUGGCGUGUGUGUCUGGUUGUAUGUUUUCUGUUGGUGAGUGAGGUCAGGUUUGUGCAGAUUUUGAUAAAGAAAUACACAGAA